This 608-nucleotide ribosomal RNA is filed under the name Bacillus pumilus. RNAcentral's name for it is "bacterial SSU rRNA". It matches the Rfam family "Bacterial small subunit ribosomal RNA", at positions 565 to 1173 of the family's 1533-position model. Lineage: Bacteria; Bacillati; Bacillota; Bacilli; Caryophanales; Bacillaceae. The record is from RNAcentral.
GGGCUCGCAGGCGGUUUCUUAAGUCUGAUGUGAAAGCCCCCGGCUCAACCGGGGAGGGUCAUUGGAAACUGGGAAACUUGAGUGCAGAAGAGGAGAGUGGAAUUCCACGUGUAGCGGUGAAAUGCGUAGAGAUGUGGAGGAACACCAGUGGCGAAGGCGACUCUCUGGUCUGUAACUGACGCUGAGGAGCGAAAGCGUGGGGAGCGAACAGGAUUAGAUACCCUGGUAGUCCACGCCGUAAACGAUGAGUGCUAAGUGUUAGGGGGUUUCCGCCCCUUAGUGCUGCAGCUAACGCAUUAAGCACUCCGCCUGGGGAGUACGGUCGCAAGACUGAAACUCAAAGGAAUUGACGGGGGCCCGCACAAGCGGUGGAGCAUGUGGUUUAAUUCGAAGCAACGCGAAGAACCUUACCAGGUCUUGACAUCCUCUGACAACCCUAGAGAUAGGGCUUUCCCUUCGGGGACAGAGUGACAGGUGGUGCAUGGUUGUCGUCAGCUCGUGUCGUGAGAUGUUGGGUUAAGUCCCGCAACGAGCGCAACCCUUGAUCUUAGUUGCCAGCAUUCAGUUGGGCACUCUAAGGUGACUGCCGGUGACAAACCGGAGGAAGG